AACGAACGCUGGCGGCAUGCCUAACACAUGCAAGUCGAACGAGACCUUCGGGUCUAGUGGCGCACGGGUGCGUAACACGUGGGAAUUUGCCUCGGGGUAUGGAAUAACUCAGGGAAACUUGAGCUAAUACCAUAUAAUGUCUUCGGACCAAAGAUUUAUCGCCCUGAGAUAAGCCCGCGUAGGAUUAGCUAGUUGGUGAGGUAAAGGCUCACCAAGGCGACGAUCCUUAGCUGGUCUGAGAGGAUGAUCAGCCACACUGGGACUGAGACACGGCCCAGACUCCUACGGGAGGCAGCAGUGGGAAUAUUAGGGACAAUGGGCGAAAGCCUGAUCCAGCAAUGCCGCGUGAGUGAUGAAGGCC
RNAcentral lists this ribosomal RNA (361 nucleotides) under uncultured bacterium. RNAcentral's name for it is "bacterial SSU rRNA". It matches the Rfam family "Bacterial small subunit ribosomal RNA", at positions 29 to 416 of the family's 1533-position model. The record is from RNAcentral.